AUUUAAAUUAAACUGCGGCUGGUGCUAUGGUAUGGUGGAGUGUAGGAAGGGGUAGGGCAUACCCAAAUCAUGAGGCAUUGCCAACUUAGAUUACUAAAAAAGGGGGCGAGUAGUGCUAUGGAUAUGACAGCUUCGUUCCCUGUUAGUUUAUCUUUAUCGAAAUUAUUAAAAAACAAAUAUUAUUAGUCAUAAAACUCAUCUAGUGUGGAGUAGGGUUAAAUCGUCGGCAAAAAAAUCACCAGAAACAUUAACAUUCCGCAAGUGGUCGUGUUGUCGUGGUUAGUGAAGGCCGUGCCGAUGCUAUUUACACGCCGUUUUUCCACUAUUCCCCUGAACGAAACUGAUAGAGGAGAUUUUGUAACGAAAUAGUCGGAGUUUCGUAGUGCUCGUCCAUUGUACACAUUUCAGACAUUUUGUGGUUAGUUUCAAGUUGCACAACAUCGAGAAAACAUUAGUUUGAAGUUGAAGUCUAGCAGUCGGUGUUUGAAACAAGGCUAGCUGGAUGUGUAGAACAACAAUUGAGAUAAUUGUUUUGCAUUUUUCGGCGUUUGCCUCCUGUUGUGAAAUGGAGCUUGAAAAAACAAGGAAUGAUGUAAAUCAAACCAUUUCGAUUCUGUCUAAAGCAUCACAAUUUUCUUCUGCUCUUGGCCAAAGGCAUUGCUUUGGUUAGUUUGCUUAUUUGUGUGAGGUGUGUAUGUGACGGGAAGCAGAAUUAAGCAUCGGUAAUGUUCGACAAUAGUUCAUGUAUGAUUUGUUUCCCUUCAUCUUUACUAAUAAUUGAAAUAUUUUCAUUUCUUUUGCCGGUUAAGAAGUAGAUAUGGAGCCAAAUUACAUCUGUUCCAAGUGCCAUGUUAUCGUAGAAGGUGGAAUGAAAGGUUUUCAAGCUCACAUGAGAACACCAGAUCAUUUACCUCCUUACAUUUGUGGCCACUGUAGUUUUGAUUAUGCUCAUCUCUCUUCGCUCUAUGUUCACUUGAGAA
Molecule: long non-coding RNA, 980 nt
Organism: Frankliniella occidentalis (western flower thrips)
Lineage: Eukaryota; Metazoa; Arthropoda; Insecta; Thysanoptera; Thripidae
Exons: 3
Source: RefSeq, a predicted model, not a curated record